GACGAACGCUGGCGGCGUGCCUAAUACACGCAAGUCGAGCGAAGUUUUUCUGGUGCUUGCACCGGAAAAACUUAGCGGCGAACGGGUGAGUAACACGUAAAGAACCUGCCUCAUAGACUGGGACAACUAUUGGAAACGAUAGCUAAUACCGGAUAAUAGCAUUAACUGCAUGGUUGAUGUUUAAAAGUUGGUUUUGCUAACACUAUGAGAUGGCUUUGCGGUGCAUUAGCUAGUUGGUGGGGUAAAGGCCUACCAAGGCGACGAUGCAUAGCCGACCUGAGAGGGUGAUCGGCCACACUGGGACUGAGACACGGCCCAGACUCCUACGGGAGGCAGCAGUAGGGAAUCUUCCGCAAUGGGCGAAAGCCUGACGGAGCAACGCCGCGUGAGUGAAGAAGGAUUUCGGUUCGUAAAGCUCUGUUGUUAGGGAAGAAUGAUUGUGUAGUAACUAUACACAGUAGAGACGGUACCUAACCAGAAAGCCACGGCUAACUACGUG
RNAcentral lists this ribosomal RNA (499 nucleotides) under uncultured bacterium. Its description in RNAcentral is "partial 16S ribosomal RNA". It matches the Rfam family "Bacterial small subunit ribosomal RNA", at positions 28 to 507 of the family's 1533-position model. The record is from RNAcentral.